UAGCCGUAAACGAUACUCGCUAGGUGUCGGCCACGGUGCGACCGUUGUCGGUGCCGUAGGGAAGCCGUGAAGCGAGCCACCUGGGAAGUACGGCCGCAAGGCUGAAACUUAAAGGAAUUGGCGGGGGAGCACCACAACGGGUGGAGCUUGCGGUUUAAUUUGGAUUCAACGCCGGAAAUCUUACCGGGACCGACAGCAACAUGAAGGCCAGGCUGAAGACUUUGCCGGAUUAGCUGAGAGGAGGUGCAUGGCGUAGUCG
This 259-nucleotide ribosomal RNA is filed under the name uncultured archaeon. Its description in RNAcentral is "partial 16S ribosomal RNA". It matches the Rfam family "Archaeal small subunit ribosomal RNA", at positions 748 to 1006 of the family's 1478-position model. The record is from RNAcentral.